Molecule: ribosomal RNA, 462 nt
Filed under: uncultured bacterium
Lineage: Bacteria
Description: partial 16S ribosomal RNA
Rfam family: Bacterial small subunit ribosomal RNA
Source: RNAcentral
AGUGAACGCUGGCGGCGUGCCUAAUACAUGCAAGUCGAACGGAGAUUAAGUAGCUUGCUAUUUAAUCUUAGUGGCGCACGGGUGAGUAAUAUAUAGCUAACUUGCCCAUUAUUAAGGGACAACAGUUGGAAACGACUGCUAAUACCUUAUACUCCGUAUCUAUAUAAGUAGAUACGGGAAAGUUUUUCGGUAAUGGAUAGGGCUAUAUCGUAUCAGCUAGUUGGUAAGGUAAUGGCUUACCAAGGCUAUGACGCGUAACUGGUCUGAGAGGAUGAUCAGUCACACUGGAACUGAGACACGGUCCAGACUCCUACGGGAGGCAGCAGUAGGGAAUAUUGCUCAAUGGGGGAAACCCUGAAGCAGCAACGCCGCGUGGAGGAUGACACUUUUCGGAGCGUAAACUCCUUUUCUUGGGAAAGAAUUAUGACGGUACCCAAGGAAUAAGCACCGGCUAACUCCGUG